CUUUUCGAGGUAGGAGUCGACUCCUGUGAGGUAUGGUGCUGGGUGCAGAUGCAGUGUGGCUCUGGAUAGCACCUUAUGGACAGUUGUGUCCCCAAGGAAGGAUGAGAAUAGCUACUGAAUUGUUUCUUCCCAGGUCCUAAAGAGCAAGCCUAACUCAAGCCAUUGGCACACAGGCAUUAGACAGAAAGCUGGAAGUUGAAAUGGUGGAGUCCAACUUGCCUGGACCAGCUUAAUGGUUCUGCUCCUGGUAACGUUUUUAUCCAUGGAUGACUUGCUUGGGUAAGGACAUGAAGACAGUUCCUGUCAUACCUUUUAAAGGUAUGGAGAGUCGGCUUGACUACACUGUGUGGAGCAAGUUUUAAAGAAGCAAAGGACUCAGAAUUCAUGAUUGAAGAAAUGCAGGCAGACCUGUUAUCCUAAACUAGGGUUUUUAAUGACCACAACAAGCAAGCAUGCAGCUUACUGCUUGAAAGGGUCUUGCCUCACCCAAGCUAGAGUGCAGUGGCCUUUGAAGCUUACUACAGCCUCAAACUUCUGGGCUCAAGUGAUCCUCAGCCUCCCAGUGGUCUUUGUAGACUGCCUGAUGGAGUCUCAUGGCACAAGAAGAUUAAAACAGUGUCUCCAAUUUUAAUAAAUUUUUGCAAUCCAUC
This 650-nucleotide long non-coding RNA is filed under the name Homo sapiens (human). The record is from RNAcentral. Lineage: Eukaryota; Metazoa; Chordata; Mammalia; Primates; Hominidae.